Molecule: unclassified non-coding RNA, 81 nt
Filed under: Algibacter luteus
Lineage: Bacteria; Pseudomonadati; Bacteroidota; Flavobacteriia; Flavobacteriales; Flavobacteriaceae
Description: Arenitalea lutea Flavo-1 RNA
Source: RNAcentral
UUAUGUUCUGCGUUAGGGAUAGCAGUGGAAAGCCCACAGCGAGGCACGAGCGAGAACUUGUAACGGAUAGCCCGACCCUCG